GAUGAACGCUGGCGGCGUGCCUAAUACAUGCAAGUCGAGCGGCAGCACAAUAAGCUCUUGUUCUUACUGUUAGCGAGGGGCGGGCGGGUGAGGCAUGCAUCAGCUACUUCUUUGUCUUGGGUGACAACGGGAGGCAAUAUAUGCUAAUAGCUCAUAUUUUCUACCGCUUGAAUCAAAAGAGCUUGGGGGUUUUGCCGUUAGAUAUAGACGAUGUCGGAUUAGCUUGUUGGUUGGGUAAAGGAACACCAAGGCGACGAUCCGUAGCUGAUCUGAGAGGAUGAUCAGCCACACUGGAACUGAGACACGGUCCAGACUCCUACGGGAGGCAGCAGUGGGGAAUAUUGGACAAUGGGCGCAAGCCUGAUCCAGCAAUACCGCGUGAGUGAAGAAGGCCUUCGGGUUGUAAAGCUCUUUUGUUGGGGAAGAAAAGCAGCAGAUUUAUCCGCGGAUGUCUUGACGGUACCUAAAGAGAAAGCACCGGCUAACUUCGUG
RNAcentral lists this ribosomal RNA (492 nucleotides) under uncultured bacterium. Its description in RNAcentral is "partial 16S ribosomal RNA". It matches the Rfam family "Bacterial small subunit ribosomal RNA", at positions 28 to 507 of the family's 1533-position model. The record is from RNAcentral.